GCCACAUUUGGUGUAAGGACCAGGAAAAUAAUUUUUUUACUCGUUCAGGUGACUUUAUAUAAAGUGGUGGGAAAAAAAAUUCAAAAAAAUAUACUAGUGCCACCACAUCUAUAGAAGGGACUGAAGGAAUUUUUUUUCCGUUUUUGGUGACACCACAUGAAGUGGUGAGACCAAAAAAUUAAAAAAAAACAAAUACUGGUGCUGCCACAUGUAUAGUAGGGACUAGGGAAAAGUUUUUUUAAACUAUUUUGGAAACACCAAGUGAAGUGGC
This 271-nucleotide long non-coding RNA is filed under the name Gossypium raimondii (Peruvian cotton). RNAcentral's name for it is "long non-coding RNA (GRAI_LNC004442)". The record is from RNAcentral. Lineage: Eukaryota; Viridiplantae; Streptophyta; Magnoliopsida; Malvales; Malvaceae.